RNAcentral lists this ribosomal RNA (460 nucleotides) under uncultured bacterium. Its description in RNAcentral is "partial 16S ribosomal RNA". It matches the Rfam family "Bacterial small subunit ribosomal RNA", at positions 338 to 795 of the family's 1533-position model. The record is from RNAcentral.
CCUACGGGUGGCAGCAGUGAGGAAUAUUGGUCAAUGGACGAGAGUCUGAACCAGCCAAGUAGCGUGAAGGAUGACUGCCCUAUGGGUUGUAAACUUCUUUUAUAAGGGAACAAAACGAGGCACGUGUGCCUUUUUGCAUGUACUUUAUGAAUAAGCAUCGGCUAACUCCGUGCCAGCAGCCGCGGUAAUACGGAGGAUCCGAGCGUUAUCCGGAUUUAUUGGGUUUAAAGGGUGCGUAGAUGGGUUGUUAAGUCAGUUGUGAAAGUUUGCGGCUCAACCGUAAGAUUGCAAUUGAUACUGGCAGUCUUGAGUACGGUAGAGGUAGGCGGAAUUCGUGGUGUAGCGGUGAAAUGCAUAGAUAUCACGAAGAACUCCGAUUGCGAAGGCAGCUUACCAGCCUGCCACUGACAUUGAUGCACGAAAGUGUGGGUAUCGAACAGGAUUAGAUACCCGAGUAGUC